CGUGGAUUCAGAUGUCUCUGAAGAAGCAUCUGUGAAAGCGGAUGCUGCGGUACUUUUCUUCCACUGCCAUUGGUCCAACAAUGUCUCUGUCUAUGACACAUUGUCUAGAACACAUGAUCCUCCAAGAAAUCCAUGCCUGUGAAUGCAAGGCAAAAGCUGCAAGCAGCAGUGAGGUAGAAGUUAGGCUUCUGUGGAGAAUUCCUUUGUCUCUUCUUGCAGCCUCCAGCGUGCAGUUUGUGCUGCAGACUUUUUAAAACUGCUGACAAAAUUAUUUGCAAGUUCUUUUAACUUAGGUGCCUUUGCUUUUCUUUUUUCUAUGGCAUCAUAGUAGCAAAGAACUGUGUAGGGAUCCUAGAUAAACAUCCUCUGAAAUUACUUCAGAAUUUACCAAAGAUGCUAUUCUAUUCUUCUGCUGUGUUUAAAUUAUUCAGAGAGCAAACCCCUUUGGUCAGAGCAUAGCACUGCUAACUGAUGUGAGCAAAGCAGCGUUCCUGCUGGGUGGCAUUAUUGCUGGUAGCUGCAAUACCGACUUCCAACUGGCAGUGUCUGCAUUAAACGUUGGCAUCAACAAGAAUCCGUGGGGCAAUUUGCACAUCUCCUACUGACAGUUUGAGAUUAUGCCUUAUGUGAUAUGUAUUGCUGUUAGUCACUGGUGGUGGUGGUGAUGAUUUCGGUUCAGAAGCAUAGCGUAGCAGUUUCCUUCUGUCUCACAGGGAGUUUGAAGAGGCAUGCACUCAGACACCCAGUAGGUGGUGCUCACUGCAUCACUUUUAGGGGAAGAACAAGGUCAGCAGGCAGAAGAUCUUGAAAAAUCUGGUUCAGGAUGUCUUCAAUUAUGUUUAAUACCAAAUAAUGUCUAAACUGUGCAGUGGCCAGAAUUCCUAUUUUUUUUAAGUUAAUCUGCUCGAAAUUUCUUUCUAUACAAGAGCUUAUCAAAGGUUACACAGUUUGCUGUAGCUUAGCUGUUGGUUGUCCUAGCUUUAAAUAUGCACAACUUUCCCCAGUUGUUUUAUGGAGAAAUUAUGCUUAAUUUAUUUCUUUUAUGGAGGAAAUCUUUGACAUGCUAUUUUUGACAUGGUGGAGAAGCUUUAAAAGGAAUUGGAGUUCCCCAGGCAGCUCUUAGCCAAAAUGUUUCUUUGGAAAUUUCUCCUUCACCUGACUCUAUAGGGAUUUAACCCAGAAGGUAAUGAAAAUCUGAUUAUUUUUGCAGAUCAGGCAAAACAAAAAUGGGGCAUUCACUGAUGAGGUGUGGAAUGGCAUGUCAAGGUUGACUCUGGAACAAGACAUGGUGAUCCAAUCCCCAGGACUACUGUUUUGCUCAAGCACAGCCACCCUAGCAAUUGGAAAGUGAUACUAGCGAAAUAAAACAGCUGUCCUCUUGGAGAGAGGAAACACAGCAGAGGUAUUCAUAGACCCAGCAUCCGCUAGGGCUCAGUUCAAGAUCACUGAAGCCAAAUUACUGGUAGAAUUGCAGAACCUUUGGAUACCAGAAGGGCUCUGGUGUUCAACAGGGAUGAUUUCAUCGUGCAUUUCAAGUAAAUGUUACAGGGAGUGAUAUUUUCUAUUAUGCUGAUGACUAGCAGUUGGUUGCAUCUGUUCUAUUAUCAAAGCUUACCAGUCCCUCCGCUUCCUAGGAAACCUCAUUAUUCCUGUUUUCUACUGAAUACAAAUAAGUAGUGUAGGUGAUUAAUCACAGGAAUACUUUAGGCUUUUAGAAAAGUUGUUUGGGGAAAUCAAUGAAUAAUACAAAGGUUGAAUUUAGAUGAGAAUAUCUCUACUUGUGUUUAUCCUCACUGCUGACAGCCUGAUAGCUUCUGGGAGGUACUAUUUUUCCUUUCCUGAAAACAAGAGGAGAGAGAGGUCAUCGGGGUUGGAAACCAGGUGACCUUAAUGGAAGCUUCUUUGCCAUUAGCUCCAGCCUACGGAUGUUUGGGAGCAAGGCCUCUUGCUUCAGCCUGCUUCUCCAGGUUGGUGGUCUGAAAGCUAAUGCAGAGGUAGGAGCUGAGUCACAGCCUUCCUGCAUUCCUGGAGUUGACGUUCUUUGAUAUGUGGGAGUGUGCCUUAGGUUUCAGGUUGCAGAAGGGAUGCUGCAGUACACUGACCAUAAACAUAGGCACUCAGGAACUGGAAAAAUCAGAAUUAAUAUUGAUCUAUAGCAUAAAACUGCUCUGGAGGGUGCACUUUAGAACCUACUGUACUUUUUCUCCUACAUAAACUUUCUUGAUUUAUUUGACGUGGUGACUUAUCGGUGGUGAAGAAGUGUUAGCUCUGAGUGGUAGUUUUUGGCUUCUUUUCUGCUAGUAGUACUUCAGUGCCCAUGUUUGAAACCUCUCUGUUCUGCUUUAUAUGCAACGUACUCUGUCAGCAGUCUCUUCUGAGGGCUCAAGGACUCAGUGAGUGCAGAGAUAAAAGCUUGUUUCUCCAAGUUGAAGUUAAGCUGCAGUGGGGGACAGUUUGGGGAAACUUGGAGAGCUUCUUGCUGUUUCAUGUAUAGGCAGAAUUUCAGGGCUGUCACCACUUCACUGGGUAGAAAAUUCUGUUUAACAGCAAAGUAAGAGCCCUAAACUCUGCCCUUUGGCUCUGGCAAGCCCCUUAGUAGCACAGGGACCAGAUCCUUAGCCUGCUUUCCUCCCUGUAACUCCUGGGUUGAUCUGGAGAAGUCAUUUGUGUUACUUCACUCACAAAGUGAUGAAAUCAGGGCCAGGAUUUGGCUGGCUGUCUGCACAGAAAAGAGACGUUUCUCUGUAAGUCUGCUGUGCAUGCCAAGAGCUCUGUGGGAAGGUCCAAGCUAAUGCUCCCCACUGGCUGCCUUGGCCCCAGCUCGUGCCAAGCCCUUGCAGCAGACUAGACACAAAAGAAAACACGCAGUCUAAAUUCAUUGGUAUGAAGAGGUUGUGCCAGAGUAUUCCACAGCUUGUCUUUUUCUGUUUCUCUUUGUUAAUUGUCAAUUUGCAUGAAAACAAAAACUAUAAAGGGUUGUAUUUUUUUUUCAGUGUAGUUCAGGCUGCAUUGGCAUUUAGUUUUGCACAGCUCUGCAUUUAAUACUGAAGAUGCUCUAUGGCAGACCUGAGAACCUGUUCCAGAUGUUGCUAAAGGCCGUUGAAAGAUUCCCUGUACCUUUAAUGAGCUCUAGGUAAGACACAGAUGUGUAUCAGGACUGUAUUCAUAUCUGCAGGAGAGGAAUGAGUGGUAGGAGAGAGGGAAAUCCACAAUGGGGCAUGUGUUUUAAGUCAGUUUCCAUUUUUUUGUGAUCUCUGUCAGUGAAGAUUUGAGUGUUGGAGACCUGUUGGCUUACCUGCUCAAAAAGUCCGUUGUCAGGUAUGUUUGGGUGUAAACGUGCUCUAUGCUGAUGAGGUCCCAGAUUCCUCUCUACGAGUAGUGGCGCAGAGACUGUGGGGUUUUGUAGGGCAGUGUGUUUAAUAGAACUCUUGGAGUUGGGUCAUGCUCUGACCCCUUCUGUGGCCAUCUGUGUUUAUGUGUUCCCUAAUUUUUCUGUCGUCUUUAAAACACUGGUUCCCAGCCCUUUUCCUCCCCAAUCCUCUCACACUCUGGGAACCCUGCUGCUCCCUUCUAGGCACCCCAGGCCCUGACCUGCUGUCCACAUCUCCCAACACUUGUUGCCCCUCUUCAUCUCAUAGAUGAGGUGCUGCUUGCAAGCUGGAGACUGAUUCCCUGACUGCACCAUUCUGUGGCAAAGCCUUGGACUCGGGAGCAGCAGCUACCCACUAAAUCACUUUCCCAUGCCCAGCAUCAGUCUCACAUUGAAAAGUGAAAUUUUGUAGGUUGUUCUUUGGUCAGCUCUACACAUGGUUUAUUUACUUGGGCAUGUAAAACACAAAGGUAGUACAGCAUUGCCAAAAUUACAAAAUGACUUUUUUUUAUUCAUCUACCCUAUUUUGUAGAGCAUUAUUUGAGAAGAAAAACCAUGCAAGAAGCAAGAGAAAGCUUUACUUUUAUCUGUGUGGAGCCUAUAAAUCCACAUGGCUUCUCUGUGCUGUCAAGCAUGUGAGUUCUUAGAAAUGCAGCUGAUGGUAGUUUAGCUCGAAUACAAUCGUUCUAAAACAAGCUAGAAAUAAAUAAAAUACUUACAUUUCAAGUACAAAACCUUGCAGUUGAAUUCAAUAUGGGGAAAUCAGUUUACUCCUUUUCGUGUUACCAACUACUGUACAGGUACUUGGGCUGGCAAAGUCUGCAGAUGCAGAAUAGAAAACGUCUUAUGGACAUGACUUAAUUGAACGGUGUGUUUAGUUUUUCCUUUAGGCUGUCAGGUGAAGUUGUUUUAUAUCAGAUUUUUUGACACUUUUAGCAAGGCAGGAGCUCACUACAAGUACUGCCUCUCAAUUUUGGCCUUUAUAUCUUUCCUUUGUGGUGCAAUGCAAAAAUAAAACUCAAAAAAAAAAAAAGGGGGGGGGGGAGGGGAAGGGAGUAUCAUGUCAAAAAUAUUGACAACUACCUCCUUUGAAUAAGGCUAUUUGCAGGUAGAUACUUAUUUUUAAUCAAAUGUGAGUGACUUUACCAAGGCUCCUGCAUAGCUCUAGUAUGAGGAAGGGCGUUGACCUCUCAUCUGGAUUCUGCUUUGGGUGAUCUGGCGGCUUCCCACUGGCCUUUGGUACGCAGGGCUCUCCCUUGGUGGUACCUGUAUGGACUGCUGGCCUAAGUUCCUCUGGGACUCAAAUAAGCUUUGCUCCGCUGCGCUCCUCUCCGAACAGGUGAAAGUCAGCGCUACACCGAUAUCGCUCUUCAUGAUUCUGGAGGUGCCAUCUGAUGUGCCAUCGAAACACCUGCCCAAAGCAAUUUCCUUGGCGAUCCUUGGGUCCUGGUCAGUGACGGUAUAGAUGCCGUAGUUAUGUCCCAGUGGGUCAAGGGGUGCUAGCAUUGUGUAUUCACUGGAAUCAUUGUUGGUAGCCAUGGGGAGGUGGUUCACCAGGUACUCGUGGAGCAUGCUGUUCACGCUCUCCCGGCGACAGCUGCCUUGUGGGAUGACUUUCACAAGCGUGCGGUCUACGCGGUCUUGGUCGAAGAGCAUGCCACUACACUUGAACUCCAGGCAGGCUGCUGACACAUCCUGCUGCUCGGGAUCCCGAAUGCUACGGACAUCCCUGAUGCCAUAGAGCUUCCCAAUGGUGCGUGGAUGUGUCCCACCCAUGUUGCGAGACCUUAUGUUCACUUCCUGAGGUCCAUUAAUUUUGACUUUUAUGUAGCAGGCCCUAAAUUCCAUGGGCUUGGGCCACCAUGCCAGGUAGUCAUCGGUCCAGCUCAUGAGGUCAUCUUCACUGAAGGGAACAGUAUUGUAGUCGUACCGAUCUCCCUCUAUCCUGUAAAACCUGAAGUGAGCAGCACUGUAUGGAGCUUCCUCGCAUUCUUUCAGGUUUUCAUAGGCAUAAAUAGGGCCAUUGUUCUCAUCUGCAGAAUUUGGACUUGGCUUGGCCAUAUUGAUUCUGAAUGCGGUUUUCUUUGUGUUAGGGUCCUCGUGGUCUGUUCUCCUGUAGUUGAGCUUGUUGAGAUAUGGCUGUGGGACCCCAAUAGCAUUAGGAUUGAGUUUUGGAGCAGAGGGCACUGCUUCGAGUUCUUCACCCCCCAAGCUCGCCAAAAUGUAAGCUGCAUAGGCCUCUGGGUUCUGCUCGUCACAGAAGGCUGGCACACAAGCACCAUUGGGACCGGUGACCACGCUGUCAAAACGGCCCCAUGCUCUGGGGUUGGAGGAGAACCCUGGUUCUGGCUCCGUGUUUAUAACAGAAAUCACCACCCCCUGGAUCUGUUCGCUUGGCAGAAAUCUCUCACUUCUAUAUGCUCGGACUUUGACAUAGCACCGUCUGUUCUCUGGGACGUCUAGGUUAAAAAGCCGCCUUUCCUUGAUCUCCAUGUUCCCAACCAAAAAAGUCCUCUCUUCUCUUCUGCGCCGUCUGCUUUUCUCCAGGUUGAAGUCCCCUUCUUCCUCCCAUAAGCCUGUCUCAGGGUUCAGUGACCAAAGCUUCAUUUCUUGUAGGUGCUCUGGCAUCCUCACCUGAGCAGUGUCCAAGUGGACCUUCACAUCCUCUACAUUAAGAGUCUCAGUGCCCUGUUCAUCAGUGAAGUCCAGGGAAAACAUACCAUACGUGCGGAGCGGGAACACAUCUCCUUCGUCGUCUACAAAGUUCAGGUCACUUUGUGUCACAGGUGCUGUUGAGAGUUCUCUUGGGUCCAGAAACGUCACGCUGGCUUUCACUUUUCCUCUGUAAGGUUCUCCGUUCUUCCUGUAAAAUGAAUCAGGAGGGAUUUCUAAUUCGGCAAUAGGAUCAUCAUCUUCCUUUUCUCCCAAAGGAAUUACACUGGUUUCAGUGGAUUCCAGCAUGACAGGGGCUUUCUUUCGUAGUAACUUAAUGUCAUGAAACACAGCACCUCCAUUUUCCUUGAAGGGCAAAACUUUUGUUGUGUUCACAAACUUCUGCAGCCGAUCAACGAAGGUUAGAACCAGUCUCUCAGUAUCUGGUGGGACGUGGACAGAGAAGGUUCCCUUGUAGCCGGUCAUGCUCACUCUCUUGUUCCCCAUGUAGAUGUGGCCAAACCUCAGUGGCUCACCGUUAUCCACCGCUGUAGCUCUGCCCCGAACUGUUAUUUUUGUCUCGGUGCAUUUUUUACAGCCGCAUUCUACAGCAACUUUAGUGGGGAGCGUGUACCCAUCGCACAAGAUCUCUCUCACUUCCAUCUUAGACACCCCGCAGCAGUAGGAGAUGUUGUCCUUACAGCGGAGUCCCUUAUCCAGCUUCCCAACGCAGGUCUUUGCUGGGCACUUGCCCACAUCGUAGUAGAAUGAGUCAGUUGCUUUUUGGAAACAGUCGUGCGGAAGAUGAAUGAGGUGGCUUUGGGGCUGGGAGCUGCAGGCUGCCUCUUGUUUUCCUGUUGAAUAGCAUUUCUUAAUGAGCAGCAUGAAAUAAUUGUACAGUCAUCUGUAUGUGGUCUGAAACCCUCCGAGCUAAACAUUGCUUCCAAUCACAGGGAGGCUUUUGCAGCAAUAAAACAGAUGGUUUGCAAAAUUUUGGUUAGCUGGAUUCAUCUGGCCUUUGUUACACUGAAGCAGGUGCUCAGCUUUAAUUUAAGGCACCUGAUUAAGAGCAGUGCUGUUUGCAGGAGUGUCCCAGCUCCUGCUUACCAGCUCCGUGCUCUGCAGUUGCCUGGCUUCUUGGCCAUGAACAGACCUAAACGGGUCCCAGGAUUUAAAAAAGAAACAAAAAUAUUCACACGCUGGGCAGUGAUUACAGUGAGAAAUGACUGCCCAGCGGAUUAAGUUUGGCAGGUCAUCUGAAACCCAGAGCUCCGGUUUGUAGUGAGUAUCUGGCUGAUAACCAGCACACUCAGGCUUAUCUGCUAAUGGGUGCAUAAAAUAACACCCAAAUAUUUUUCCUGCACCUUUCCUUUCAUGCAUGUGUUGUAAUUUCUGAGCACUUUCUGUACCCCUGCUGCUUGGAGCACAUCACACACAUUUUCUCUUACCUAUUACAGAAAGCAUGGCAGGCUGGGACUUUGCUGAACCUCCAUCACUGACAGCCUUGCAGAAGUACUCUCCUGCCUGCCCUCUGUUCAGGUUCUUCAGAAUCAGGUUGUUUUUAUAUCUGUAUAUGGAAGGAUCCAGCAGGGAGCCAUUGUGGUACCUGCCAGGAACAGGCAGAUGGUUAAUGGGACAGAGACCUGACCGCAUGGCUUGGACAGAGCAGGGCCCAGAUCCUGUUUGUAUGGAUUUAGCCACACCUCCUGCCUCAGUUACACCACUUACAUCAUGGAGCAGCCAUGUCCCAGGAGCUGCCCUUUCAGAGUUGCGGUCAUGCUUAAAAGCAUAAAACCCCAGUGCGUUGCAUGGGGUGCUAGUCAGGCUGCAAAUCCUUGCAGGGGCUUCCCCUAAAACCAAUUCCAGACACAGCUGUCAGUCAUGCCUGCCAAGGUUUUUGAAACUCCUAUCUGAGUGUUUUUUCCAUUAAGUCCCUCUGCAGAUUGUAUUACUGCACCUGCGAGAAAUGCCAGCUCUGCAAAUGUGCAGGAAAUGAUCAUUUAUAGCACUGGGUUCUCAGUGUGUUUAUGCUUAAAAAAAAAAAAAAAGAAAAAACAAUAUCCCAGCUUUAUGGAGGUGGUAAGGAGGUAGAAAUCAAGUGUGUUCAACAAAACUGGUGGAAUUGGAGUCUUCAAAAACUUGGAAGACCAUCUAGUCUAAUUCCUCUGCAAUGAACAUGGACACCUACAGCUCCGUCAGGUGCUCAGAGCCCAUCCAGCCUGACCUUGGGUAUCCCAAGGGAUGGGGCACCCACCACCCCUCUGGGCAGCCUGUGCCAGUGCCUUGCAGCCCUUACUGUAAACAACUUUUUCCUUAUAUCCAGUGUAAUCCUCCCCUGUUUUAGUUUGAAACCAUUUCUCCUUGUCCUCUCACAUCAGGCCCUGAUGAGGUCUGUCCCCUUCUUUUUAUAGCCAGCUUGUAUUGAUAGCAGCUGUUGCUGCGACCCAGGUACAAGACCUUGCCCUUGGCUUUGUUGAGCCUCAUGAGGUUCCCGUGGGCCCGCUGCUCCAGCUUUCCGCCCUCCUGCCAGGUGGUGUGGGAUCAAUGGGAGUUCCUUACCAGAGAUAGCGAUCUGGGGCCGGAGUCCCCACAGCAUUGCAGCAGAGUGACACGCUCUGCCCCACUCUCCUCGCCUUGUCAUCAGGGCUCUUGAAAACAUAAGGUUUGCCUGCAGGAGGAGAAGAGGCCACCUCAUUACUCUUAUUUUUGUUAAUUGCUCUUAGAUGUGCUGGGCUUCCCCAUCUCUAAUUCUACCUGAUCUCUUCAGCUGCACUUGGAACGCCAGGUUCUUCCUGUUGGUCUCCGGCACGGUGAUGGCUGUGGUCGUAUAUUUGGCUUUCUUUAUUUUGAGGGUGUUUUUGCCAUCGGGACAGACCCCAGGAAUCCUAAAUGUGCCUUUAUUGUCAGCUGUUGUCAACAGCUUGAGAUUGUUGGCUUGCAGGUAGACCCGGGCAUUGUCUGCAGGUGAACCGUCCUCCAAGGAGACCUUUCCGUGCAGGGUCACAUCCUCACACAUGCACGCAUCGCAGUCGGCGUUCACGCGGCCCAUGGGACAGGUGAUGUUGCAGCCUGGGGUGAGGCAGGUAGGUCAAAAAGCAGCCUGAUGCCCUGCCAUGCUCCUAGCACGGCCUCACGCCUGCUUUCCAUUUAGAUGCAAUAAGGCAGAUAGUGCAUAAGGAAUAGAUUGUAUCGAAAAUGUAUUUCCAGAGAUUAUCAGCAGCUGUGUAUUAGAAACAUGGGGCUGAUGGAGUGCUGAGCCUCAUAAUUUGUAGAAGGCAGCCACAUGGAUGUAAUUACAGCUAGCAACUUUUCAUUACCAUCCCUAAAGGGCUGAAUUUCAGGGAAGCUUGAAUCCUGAUCUGCACGUGAGCUGAACCCUGGUAAAAUCACAAAUCCAAAUGCCUUCAGCUUUGUAGAUUCCUGUUGCCAACCCAUGCCCAAAUGCUGUGGCAUUGGUUUGUCUUAAAAGCCGCCUCUCUUAUUCAGCAGCAUCCUGGCUUGUGUACGACAUAGGCUAGGUCCUAAUAGCCUAACUGUUGAAUAGUCAUUAUCUGGUGAGUCCAACGAAUAGUCUCCCAAAGAGUGAUUCUGUGACAGUUUCUUACCUAUAGCAGUUAAUCCUACAUAUCCCUGUUUAUCUAUCCCAUUUACAAGGGUGCUCCCUUUACAGUCAGAGUUUCCCCCUACAGCAGCUGUGUGAUAAUCUAUUUAUUUGCAGCAAUAAAUAGAUGAAAUCAGAGAAAACCCUAUAACAACUUUCCUGGAGAAAACACAGACCAUUUUCAGAGUGAUGUGUUUAAAAAGGGGAGUACAAGAGUAAUACAACUAAUUACAGGCUGCUGUAACUUCUUCCUGGGGCUGGCUGCUGGCAGCUUUCAGAUCGCUGGCAAGGAGGAGAACUGUGGCAACAUGGCUGUGAGGGGAGUAAAAAACCUGCGUGGGGGUGAGAUCAGGACAGAACCGAGGUUAUGUGAGCACCUGAGCAUACGUGUCCGAUGCAGAGCCGCCCUUCCUCCAUGACUUCGUUACAGUGCACGCCCCAGAGGCGAUCUGCCAGGCAGGAUCGGGUCCGCUUCUGCACACCGGUUUGGCCACACUUUCCUGAGCACUCACUCCAUUUCGACCACGGAGACAAAAACUUUCUGGAAUCUUGCACCAGAACAGCUUGAAUGACAUAAUUGGGGUGUUAGUGAGACGCACAUUCAACACAGGGAAAGCAAGCACUUUCAUACAGCUUCUACGUGGCUCAGACUACGAGUUUGUAUUUGGAUAUUAUGCACCACAAACUCAAAGCAUGUUGAGGGAGCUGGGAAACAAAGCACGUGAAGGUGCCUGAACGCUUCGGACAUCAUUCCCUGAAUUUGGGACGAUUAAGAUCAGAUCAAGGCAUGGAGGGUGGCAGCUGAUUGAUGCUGGCAAAGCACUGUCAGAAUUUCAUGAACUGGAGCAUCAAGCCAAGAGCUGCUGUUUGGCAACAUCUGGAUAACCUUCUGGGAAUAGAUUUGCAGAUGGCAACCCCCAAAAAAGCAGCACUGUGUCCUCCCCAAGAGGGACAGAGGAUGCCAUGGUGAGUUCUGUGGCUCAGUUCCAUCCUGUGGAUACAGCUUUUCCCGUAAGAAACAUCAGAUUUGGGUCCAAACACCCUGGGGAGCAUGAGAGAGAGGAGGGUGUUUGAUGUACAUGGCCAGCGGGAAGAGGCUGGGAGAUGACGGAAGCAGAGAAUAAAAAUAGGAUGGAUGAAAGAGGGCACGGAAGGCAAGGACGAGGAGAGCCACCAAAACCAAGAGCAAAAUAGUUUGCUUCCGUAGGUUAGUCACAAUGAAAACAUUUGGAUUUCAUCACUUCUUCCAGCUCAAGAAAAAUACCCGGGUCGGGCAGUGGGGUCACUGGGCAGGUCACCAAACCCAUGUGCUGAUGGACUACACCUCAAGGUUUGUUCUAGGGAGAUCAACUUACCCCUCUUAUCAAGUUUAGGCAUAGGGAAGGGUGGGUGUGAGGGGAGAGCAUCCUCCUUGUCAGCUUGCUCGCCUUCCUCCCAUCCUUCUCAGCUCCCUAUGGACAUCACUAGGAACAACUGACCACGGCUCACUGAGCUCAGUAGCACCAGGCUACCAAAACCCAGCCACUGUGAUGGGACUGAGCAUUGAGAACAUGUUUUUCUGAAUACUUAGAGGCACAACACACUUGAAGAAGGGUCUGAGUGCUGCAGCACCUCAGGCUGAAUCCAGAAACAGGGCAUUAUUGCACCAAGAAGCACCCCAAAGAAGUCAUAAAGAUGUCUGGGAACAACUGUGUGCACCCCAUUGGGUACAGCCCUCUUGCUCUAUGGUUUUGCCACAGUCACACCCAAUCUAUAUAUUGAACCACCCCUUGCAGAGGGGCUCACGUGUCCUCCACCCCUCGCUGCUUUCUGCUGUGAAUAUUUUGGCAAACUGAGUGUGAUGCACAGCUCCAGUGCUGUUUUUGGUGAGCAGGAGGAGAGCAGGGAGCCACAUGCUGUCUGCUGUGGACUUUGGGGAAGAACAGAAGCCAUUCCAGGACUGAGCUCAUCUCUAACCCCGGGAAAUGACUUCAUGAACACUGGUAUUUACUCACAAAAACACAGCAUGUCAGAUGUCCCUGACUAGACUUUCUGUUUCGAGUCCAGUAUGAGACAAGAAUUUCCUUGGAUGAGCGGCUCCGGAGACAAUUCAGGGCUUGGAGGAGGAAAAGAAGAACCAGAAGAAAAAUGUCUGCAUUUGAGAGUCUGAAGGGUGAGGCUCUCUGAGCAAACAGGGAUUCAGGGAUGCCAAAAGCACCUGCACAAGGGCAGGGAAUGAGGGUCUGCAAGACCCCCAUUUAUAUGGGACGUGCAAUGCAAAACGUGCUCCAGCUGCACUUCUGCUGCAGGUGACCCCAUGCUCC
This 11926-nucleotide long non-coding RNA is filed under the name Gallus gallus (chicken). Lineage: Eukaryota; Metazoa; Chordata; Aves; Galliformes; Phasianidae. The record is from RNAcentral.